GACGAACGCUGGCGGCGUGCUUAACACAUGCAAGUCGAACGGAAAGGCCCUGCUUUUGUGGGGUGCUCGAGUGGCGAACGGGUGAGUAACGCGUGAGUAACCUGCCCUUGACUUUGGGAUAACUUCAGGAAACUGGGGCUAAUACCGGAUAGGAGCUCCUGCUGCAUGGUGGGGGUUGGAAAGUUUCGGCGGUUGGGGAUGGACUCGCGGCUUAUCAGCUUGUUGGUGGGUAGUGGCUUACCAAGGCUUUGACGGGUAGCCGGCCUGAGAGGGUGACCGGCCACAUUGGGACUGAGAUACGGCCCAGACUCCUACGGGAGGCAGCAGUGGGGAAUAUUGCACAAUGGGCGGAAGCCUGAUGCAGCAACGCCGCGUGCGGGAUGACGGCCUUCGGGUUGUAAACCGCUUUCGCCUGUGACGAAGCGUGAGUGACGGUAAUGGGUAAAGAAGCACCGGCUAACUACGUG
This 467-nucleotide ribosomal RNA is filed under the name uncultured bacterium. Its description in RNAcentral is "partial 16S ribosomal RNA". It matches the Rfam family "Bacterial small subunit ribosomal RNA", at positions 28 to 507 of the family's 1533-position model. The record is from RNAcentral.